RNAcentral lists this ribosomal RNA (207 nucleotides) under uncultured bacterium. RNAcentral's name for it is "partial 16S ribosomal RNA". It matches the Rfam family "Bacterial small subunit ribosomal RNA", at positions 568 to 774 of the family's 1533-position model. The record is from RNAcentral.
CACGCAGGCGGGCUGUCAAGUCGGGUGUGAAAACCACGGGCUUAACUCGUGGCCUGCACUCGAAACUGCCAGUCUUGAGUACCGGAGAGGAUGGCGGAAUUCCUGGUGUAGCGGUGAAAUGCGUAGAUAUCAGGAAGAACACCGGUGGCGAAGGCGGCCAUCUGGACGGAUACUGACGCUCAGGUGCGAAGGCUAGGGGAGCAAACA